Molecule: ribosomal RNA, 557 nt
Filed under: Psathyrella sp.
Lineage: Eukaryota; Fungi; Basidiomycota; Agaricomycetes; Agaricales; Psathyrellaceae
Description: partial large subunit ribosomal RNA
Rfam family: Eukaryotic large subunit ribosomal RNA
Source: RNAcentral
CUGCGAGUGAAGCGGGAAAGCUCAAAUUUAAAAUCUGGUGGUCUUUGGCCAUCCGAGUUGUAAUCUAGAGAAGUGUUACCCGUGUCGGACCGUGUACAAGUCUCCUGGAAUGGAGCGUCAUAGAGGGUGAGAAUCCCGUCUUUGACACGGACUACCGAGGCUUUGUGGUGCGCUCUCAAAGAGUCGAGUUGUUUGGGAAUGCAGCUCAAAAUGGGUGGUAAAUUCCAUCUAAAGCUAAAUAUUGGCGAGAGACCGAUAGCGAACAAGUACCGUGAGGGAAAGAUGAAAAGAACUUUGGAAAGAGAGUUAAACAGUACGUGAAAUUGCUGAAAGGGAAACGCUUGAAGUCAGUCGCGUUAGCCGGAAAUCAGCCUUGCUUUUGCUGGGUGUACUUUCUGGUUGACGGGCCAGCAUCAGUUUUGACCGGUGGAAAAAGUCUAGAGGAAUGUGGCAUCUUCGGAUGUGUUAUAGCCUCUGGUCGUAUGCAUCGAUUGGGACUGAGGAACUCAGCACUUGUGCUUAGGAUGCUGGCAUAAUGGCUUUAAUCGACCCGUCUG